RNAcentral lists this ribosomal RNA (253 nucleotides) under uncultured bacterium. Its description in RNAcentral is "partial 16S ribosomal RNA". It matches the Rfam family "Bacterial small subunit ribosomal RNA", at positions 524 to 776 of the family's 1533-position model. The record is from RNAcentral.
UACGUAGGGUGCGAGCGUUAAUCGGAAUUACUGGGCGUAAAGCGUGCGCAGGCGGUUUUGUAAGCCAGAUGUGAAAGCCCCGGGCUUAACCUGGGAAUGGCAUUUGGGACUGCAAGGCUUGAGUGCGGCAGAGGAGACUGGAAUUCCUGGUGUAGCAGUGAAAUGCGUAGAUAUCAGGAGGAACACCGAUGGCGAAGGCAGGUCUCUGGGCUGACACUGACGCUCAUGCACGAAAGCGUGGGGAGCAAACAGG